UACGUAGGGCGCAAGCGUUAUCCGGAAUUAUUGGGCGUAAAGAGCUCGUAGGCGGUUUGUCGCGUCUGCCGUGAAAGUCCGGGGCUCAACUCCGGAUCUGCGGUGGGUACGGGCAGACUAGAGUGAUGUAGGGGAGACUGGAAUUCCUGGUGUAGCGGUGAAAUGCGCAGAUAUCAGGAGGAACACCGAUGGCGAAGGCAGGUCUCUGGGCAUUAACUGACGCUGAGGAGCGAAAGCGUGGGGAGCGAACGGG
RNAcentral lists this ribosomal RNA (253 nucleotides) under uncultured bacterium. RNAcentral's name for it is "partial 16S ribosomal RNA". It matches the Rfam family "Bacterial small subunit ribosomal RNA", at positions 524 to 776 of the family's 1533-position model. The record is from RNAcentral.